UAUGCAGCGUCUUGAUUGAUUGGUUCCCGUUUACUUUGGUUGCCAAACUGUGCGCUUGUAGCUUUUGGUUAGCCUGUACUCGAGGGCAAGUCGCUCUAAAGGUAGACUCGGUGAAAGCUGUUAGGGCAUAGGUAAUUGCUUAUAUAAAAUGUUCCGCUUCUUUCAUCUUUUCUGUUUGAGAGUCAAAGUUGCGGUGAUGAUUGAUCAAUUAACUCAGUUAGGGACGGGCAUGUUCGGUAAGCCUUUCCCUUCCCUGCUUUUCAGGUGCUGUGAUGAUACUAUAUAAAAAAG
RNAcentral lists this long non-coding RNA (291 nucleotides) under Gossypium barbadense (sea-island cotton). RNAcentral's name for it is "long non-coding RNA (GBAR_LNC004236)". The record is from RNAcentral. Lineage: Eukaryota; Viridiplantae; Streptophyta; Magnoliopsida; Malvales; Malvaceae.